GUUUAUCUUCAUGAUCCUACAGCCUUUCUUGCAGCUGUUGAUCCUUCACUUAUGACCUACAUUGAGGGUGUUGUUAGAGUCCAAACAACUGGCAUCACAAGGGGGUUGACAAUAUUUUAUAACAAACAGAAGAGGUUUGCUGAAGAAACUGAAUGGUCUGAUAAACCUACAGUGAAGGUAGCUGUCACAGUUGAUGCUCCCACAGUUGUCAAAUUGCUUAUGGAACGGCUUAUGGAAUCAUAAACCUUGCAGGUUAGAAUUCGCCAGUGAUUAGGAACUUCCUUUGGUGGUCAAAUGGCCACUGGUGAUGCAAUUAAAACUCCAUUGUUUUCAUGUGUAUUUUCUCUUGUGGGCAUGUGGUUGGUCAUUGGUCAUACUUUCCAAUUUGUUUCCUCUCGCACACCACAGCAAGAGAUGGUUUUCUUGACGUUCUGAUAGACAUUGUUGUCCUAAUUUCUCUGGAAUUAUUGAUCACAAUAAAGCACCCUGCCCUGUAUUUCUUUCUGCC
This 508-nucleotide unclassified non-coding RNA is filed under the name Hevea brasiliensis (rubber tree). The record is from RNAcentral. Lineage: Eukaryota; Viridiplantae; Streptophyta; Magnoliopsida; Malpighiales; Euphorbiaceae.